This 173-nucleotide ribosomal RNA is filed under the name Sardinops sagax (South American pilchard). Its description in RNAcentral is "partial small subunit ribosomal RNA". Lineage: Eukaryota; Metazoa; Chordata; Actinopteri; Clupeiformes; Clupeidae. The record is from RNAcentral.
CACCGCGGUUAUACGAGAGGCCCUAGUUGAUUUAAUCGGCGUAAAGAGUGGUUAUGGAGAAUAAGAAACUAAAGCCGAAGACCUCUUAGGCCGUCAUACGUACCUAGAGGCUCGAAUAACAAACACGAAAGUAGCUUUACCCCUUCCUGCCAGAACCCACGAGAGCUGGGAUA